CUGCAUUCCCACAGAGCAGUCACAUCCCCACAGAAAGAUGACAGCUUUUUCCCUAUUAUUGGUGUACCAGGUGCUAUUUUGUCUCUCGCUGACAACCGUCAUUGAGAUACUGUUUCAGCAGGUUUGAGAGCUCUUCAGGCUGCUGCAGGGUCAUGGUGCACCUCCACAGAGCCUGCUCAGGCCAUACAGGGCCACACAGCUCUCUGCUUCAUGUGCUUCUGAGACUCCAUCAGGAGGUAAUCUGAUCACCGGAGGGAGCAUGAACGUGACACAGGAAUGUCUGUGGGUAUCUGAAGCAGUGCAUCCCUUUGGAGAUUGGUGAUUUUAAUCACAAAAAUCUCCUGCUGUGUGCACCCUAAUUAUAUCAGAGGUCUCUUCACAUAUUGCGUACUCAUUGGAAGACAGCAUGCUUAAAUAUUUU
Molecule: long non-coding RNA, 421 nt
Organism: Gallus gallus (chicken)
Lineage: Eukaryota; Metazoa; Chordata; Aves; Galliformes; Phasianidae
Source: Ensembl